RNAcentral lists this long non-coding RNA (696 nucleotides) under Volvox carteri. RNAcentral describes it as "long non-coding RNA (VCAR_LNC002910)". The record is from RNAcentral. Lineage: Eukaryota; Viridiplantae; Chlorophyta; Chlorophyceae; Chlamydomonadales; Volvocaceae.
UCAUCGUUCGCAGCAGCGUCCAAAGAAAACGUUCGUCCAAUUCGACGCUCUAGUUGUCGCAACAACUCAUAAUCAAUAAUUUGGAAAUCAUGCGAAUUCAUGUCCCCAGUACGCGUGCCACACGAAAACGACUGGGCAAACUCCUAUGGAUUCUCUGGCCGGCGAAACAUCUCCGGUGUUACCAGCGGAUUCGGACAGCGCGAGCUGAUGUGGUUGUUCUGAACGCCGCAACGGUAACACUUCCCUUGCUGCAUCCAUUGGUACUUCUCCCAAUUCGUAAGGAAAGUACCUAAACGGAGCGGAUUCGGAGUUCGUGAUAGUUCGUUGGGUCUGUUCAGAGCCGCCUGCAUAACUGACACCUUCGCAUCAGAAGACGGAGGUCGUGGAGGUACCAUUACAGGGGGUCCAGGGAUCGGAGGCGGUGGUCCAGCAGGCGCAACGGAACGCGCUGGCGGACGAACGGAGUUCAUGGCGUUGGUCGCAGUUCCAGCCACCACGGUGGGUUCGGUAGUCGGAGGUCGGUCCGCCCUGACGCGCUUCACAACGACAUCGCGCCACGGUUGUGGUUCGGUGUUUCGUUUGCCGGAGAGCUUCGAAGAGUCCUGUCGGGAGCCGUGAAAACGGUGCUUAGUUUUCGUGGAAGCGGCAGCAGCAUAGUGAAGAGCCGCGCGAGAUUGACCCUGCCCGCGAGCUCGC